This 1391-nucleotide long non-coding RNA is filed under the name Nicotiana benthamiana. Its description in RNAcentral is "long non-coding RNA (NBEN_LNC027774)". The record is from RNAcentral. Lineage: Eukaryota; Viridiplantae; Streptophyta; Magnoliopsida; Solanales; Solanaceae.
GAAUGCACCAAAUGCUGAAAAACCCUGAUUACCCAAUCUUAUUCAAUCUUUUAUGACUGCGCAAACUUAACAUCCACAUUUCUAGUAAAUUCCAUAUUCUGGAUGGAUUGGACGUCAGAAAUUCCAUUUACUCCAUAGACUUACCUUUCACUUGGAAAUUCCGUAGUAAACCUCAACUAUUCUAUAGUGUUGUGUAACACUCCUCUAGUACUCCAUUUCCGCCAUCCCAUUUCAAUUCUAUGAGUUACAUCUGUCAUGUUUUUCUCCUAAAAGACUUCUCUAAUCUAUGAAUUGAGGAAUCUAGACACCACCAUCCCGUGUCCAUUUAACCUUUAUUCGUUUUAUGGGGCUAAAAGGUGAUGACAAAAAGAUAAAAUAAAGAGAAGGAAAAGGGAGAAAAUCUUUAAGCCACUUGAAUUUGGUAUCUGCUACGAACUUUCAGCAACCAUAUUUAGGGAACUCCGAAAUUUUAUCUAAGAGAAAUUUUAGAAUAAGAAUGAAAUGGAGUCAAACUGAGAGGAAUGGAUAUCAAGGAUUAUAUAGCCAACACUGAACUAGAUUGAAAUCAGGGAGUAGGUUUUGUUGUUAAGUGAUACAUUCCGAUAUUCUGUAGCUUUCUUCUUAUCUUACCUCAUAUGCUCUGCUAAAAUGCACUGUUUAUUCAACUCAUUACAAUCUGUCCAAGUCUGACACAGAUCAAAUUACCAUUAUUCUCCGAAGUUAUCAACCCCAAUUUAGCCAUUGCUCCUCUCUUUCAUCUGUCUAAAGUUUAGUCCUCAAAGGAGUUUUUUCCUUCAAGUUCAAUAAUGCUUAGUGCAGAAAUCAUAAAGAAGAUUCUGCAUCAUUAUCCGACCUCAUCACACACACCAACAAGAUGCUCCUUGCCUCCUCAUAACUCUUAAUUCGACCAAUAUUGGUCUAAUAACACAAAUAUUUCCCUUUGAUGCUCUAAAUGAAGCACAAAAUCUAUGGUUACAUGAACUCAGGCUCCCAUACAUCUCCAGUACAUGUACAACCAGCUUUUAGCUGGUGGAGUGUACGGCUAAGCAUCGACCAUGUGUCUCUAGCUUUUAACAAGUUUUAAUUGUGUUUUGGAGGAGUUGCGCAACACAUUACCCAUAUGAAAUUCAUUAAAAACUAAAGAAAAGGGUCCACAUAAUGUCGUCACCAACCCACUCCAUACAAGUCAAGAAAGCCGAUUAUAAUUUGUGUAACAAGUUCAAGUAAAUCCCAUUUUUAUCCGGGAGAUGCAAUAUCUUUGUGUGAGAGAGAGAGAAAGAGAGAGAGAUGCAGCCUUGUAAUGAGAACCAUGAAGAAGGGUGUAAGUUACAGAAGAGAUUACAACAACAAUAAUAAUAUUAAAUAGAAAAGAACCUUCUAAGGGGUCGUUU